Canis lupus familiaris (dog) is the source of this 4103-nucleotide long non-coding RNA. RefSeq lists it as uncharacterized. The transcript is spliced from 12 exons. Lineage: Eukaryota; Metazoa; Chordata; Mammalia; Carnivora; Canidae. The record is from RefSeq and is a predicted model, not a curated record.
AUGACCUGGGCCAAAGGCAGAUGCUUAACUCACUGAGCCACCCAGGUUCCCCUCAAACUUAGAAUUCUAAGCAGUAGCUGCAGAUUGCUGAUUGGGAAGCGAAUAGCCCGCGCUAUCUAGGCUUGGGCUCAUCAAGAAAACUUUCUGUGUUAUCUUGAUACCAGAAUAUUAUUCAAGAAUUUGAAGACGGUUAAUGAUACCAGCCCACAGAAGCCUGUCAUUUUUUGUUAAUUACAAACACACCUCUGACCUCCUGUCACUCAGCUUCUCCCUGUUUCUCCCCAACCAAUGAGUGUCAUCACCCAGCUUCUCCCUGUUUCUCCCCAACCAAUGAGUGUCAUCCCAGCUAUCUUUUCUGUAAAAACACUCUAUACUCCAGAUGUUUUCUUUUAUUUUUUUUAAGAUUUCUUUAUUCAUGAGAGACACACAGAGAGGCAGAGACACAGGCAGAGGGAGAAGCAGGCUCCCUGUGGGGAGCCCAAUGUGGGACUCAAUCCCAGGACCCUGGGAUCAUGACUUGAGCCAAAGGCCGAUGCUCAACUGCUGAGCCACCCAGGUGCCCCUACUCUAGAUGUUCUAAACUAUUUUGUCCCAUGGAUCUUUUUGCUAGUCAGGUGAAGCCUAUGAAUCUUUUUUUGGAAUAAUAUUUUUAAAUGCAUCAAAUAAUAUCUGUUGUUAUAAUAAAUGUGAAAUAAUAUGGUCUGCAUUUUAAAAUUCAGGAUAUACCAAUUAUAUUUAAGUAGUCAUCACAGUUAAAGUAUUUGUUUUAUAGUAACAUGUAGGCUUCUUUAUGAACAUAUCAAAUUAUAAGAUCUAGCAGAAAUUUAAUAACUACUGUAAUAUUGAAGUGGUAAUGAAUAUAAAUGACAUUUUGUGAUGUUUGCAACAAUUGCAACAUGAUAUAAAAAUACCUGUGAUUUCCAUUGAUGACAGUUACAGUUACUGUUAAUAAUUUUGCAGUUUGUUGUUUACAUUCAAACUUGAGAGAAAUGCUAAAUUUCAGCUCGAGAUGAAUGCAGAUAAGGAUGUAGUUAUUUUCCCAGCCAAAUACUCAGAACCCUUGAAUUCUAUCUCUAGACUCCUCCCUUCUAAGAGGUGAAGCAUGGGCUCUAGGGUCAGGGUCUGUGCCAAAAUCUUCUAUUUCCACUCCUGUGAUCUUAGCCAUGUAACUUGAGUGUGCUUUGGUUUUCUUGUCUAAGUGGUAAUAAUACCAUUAUUGGUCCAUCGUUAUGAUACAGGUGCUGCUUGAUGGCACCAGCUCUCAGUGGUGUCCUGGCUGGUGUCUGUCCCACCCUGUGCCUUUGGCUGUUUCAUUAUGACUUCACUCUGGGCUUAUGAUGUACAGAUGGUUGUUGGACAAACUGCACAACUCACAGUGGGAUGGGGGGCUGAGUAUUUGAAUCUUCUGGCUGAGGGAGUGUAGGGAGCCAGCUUUACCUUCCUGCGUGACUACUUCAGAGAUCCACAAAUGAGCAGCCUGGCUCACGCUUGAUGGUUCCAGUCAAAAUUGUGUGUGCAGCCUGGCCCAUUGCCCGUGGCAGUCUACCUGCCACGAUGGGAAAGACGGUCUAGAUGGAGAAGAAAAGGAAGCACUGUUGUACGGAGCGCUCCCCUGGGUGCGUGCUCUCAGAGAUGCUCCCAGAGAUUCGUGCCAGGUGGAGAACACCAAAUACUCCAGCAAAUUAGCAUGCAAGGCAUUUAAGGAACUUGGUUUUCAGGAGGAUGAUACGUUUUGGACAUGAAAUGAAGUACACUUUCCUCCCUGGCUAACACUGCCCUGUUUUGAACUUUUCUGCGCAGAGCUCGGCAUGAAGACAGCUACUGAGAAAUUUAACCUGUAAUCCGAGUUUGGCUAAUUCAAGCAAGUUUUGGCCUUUGGUCAAGAGGCAGCAGAGAAGGAACAUUUUGGUGGUAUUGAUCUGGGAUUCUGUAAAGAUACCUCAAUUGUGUGAAACUCUGGCAUUAGUGUCUGAUUUCCCAGAAGAACUUUUAUGAGCCUCUCCUGAGUCAAAGAUUCCCUGCAGGACCAUCCAGAAUUAUGACUCAAGCUUGGUUGAUGAUGUUGAUGAUGGUAACUAUGGAGUUCCUUCUGUGUUUCAAACUCAUUACAUAUAUUGCCUCAUUUAAACACCACCACAAGUCUAUGUUGAAAGUACUGCUACUGUUUCAGGACAGUGAGGUCACAAAAGUAAACAGCUCACACAUGGUCAGUGUGCGUCUGAUGCAAUGUUGGCUGACGCUCCCUCUUGCCGGCUCCCGCUAUUGAACCAGACCCAAGUGCAAUGUUUAAUAGCUUUAAGGAUGAUCCAGCCUGCUUCUACCCCACUGUGUUUUCCUCUUCAUCACCUUGGCUUUGCUUCUCCCAGAGUGAGAUGGAACUGUUUGAGCCUAAUUAUUUCUGUCCCAUUGCUGGUGCUUUUGGUGUCAUGUAGAAGAUACCUAUUGCCUAACCCAAGGUCAUAAGGGUUUUCUUCUAUUAUCCACGCACCAGGUAGACAUCUCCAGUGAACCUACUCAGCUUUUAACAACAGAUUGAGUCCAAGUCUCUUUGUACAGGAACCUAUGCAAACCAGUUGGUUUCCACAAGGUUGUCUGAGAAAUGUAGCAGCCAUACCAGGAUAUUUUUCAAAUCCAAGUUAAAUGAAAUGGAAACAAAUUUCCAAGGGAAAAAUGCAACAGGAAUCCAUCAGGAGACGGGGCUUCUAAGCCAACUUUGUGACCAGGUUCCCUUCUCUUAGUUGACAACAGUACAGCUCUAGAACUGCAGAGAUGAUCAUAAAACCUUCCCUCAUUGAAUUCCCUCAGAGCCACCAAGUCUCUCCACUGCCCUAUCAAGAAAAACUUCAUCAGUACAUCCUGACAUGUCAUCUGUGGAUGACAAGAUUUCACUGUGAUGAUUUCCUUGAAACUUCAAAGAUAGAAUUCAACUGAAGCAAAUCAGUGAAUAUUUUUAAAAAUUAACUUGGCAUUAAUACUUGUUUAGCAUCGGUGAAAGGUAGAGAGAUUUUGAGCAUAAGGAAACUAAUUUUGAUGGAGAAAACCUCUUUGAUCCAGAAUUGUACUGAACAUAUUAGAUGCACUAUUGUUCUAAUCUUCAGCAUUCCAUGAGAAGAAUUUGAGGCUAAGAUGUUCAGAUGGCUUACCUGAUACCAAAACCAACAUCUCACCCCCAAAGUGGCAGGACCAGUGUUUGAUUCCCCCCAGUCUAAAUACCACUGUUUUUCAUUUAAAUCCAAUUGCCUCAUGGUAAAAUCCUUCUAUUUGAAAAGAGGGGUUUUGACAUCGAUCUAUAGGAUAGACAUCAUUCAACUGAUACUUCAUAAUUACCCAUAGGAGUAGAUUAUCAUAGUGACAAGUGAAGGGGAAAGGGGCUAUUUGAAAAAUAACGUGGAGAUUGCUUUGGCUCUCUUUGAUGGACUCAAAGACAUGGAAAAUGGAAACCAGAAACAGAGAAAAAAAUAAAUCCUUUGUGGGCAGGAGCUCUUAAGCCCUGCAGCCCAGGGGUACAGCAUAUAGUCAGCUCUCAAGAAAGACUCCAGGAUGCCACUCACAGGCUUUCUCUAGCCACGUGGCCACAGUCCCCUUGCACAGGAUGGAAUUCCAUUCCCUUCAUUCUCUGUGCACAUUCUCUACGUGUCUCCUUAUUCUCUGGUUCUUCUCACUCUUCAUCUCUCCAGAGAACCUAGCCAUCAGUUCCAGCCCUCAAAGCCCUAAUGCUGACCCCCAUGGCCUCAUUCUUGGAGGCACGGGCUGCAGCACGGUUCUCCUCGUUUAUCCCCACCUCUUGUGUCUAGGGUUUCUGUCAGUACCAUGAGGGCACGACAUGGAUGCUCUGCCCAGAUCACGUGACUCAGAACCUCACACGACCUGCACAAGACCUGAAAAAGCUUCAGGCUUCCAGCCACUUGCCAGCAUGUGGCAGUUCUCCAUACCCUCAGAGCUGCCUUAUUUAUAGCCGCCCACUGCCUUCCCUCAAAGUAACCUUAGCUCUUAACAUCUUGCAAAGUGAUUUAUGUCAACCAAUUAUUAACUGAAGUAUCCGGCAAAACAGAAACUUUGAAAAAAAAAAAAAAAAAAGUGUUGUCUGAGGUUGAGAAAAAAAA